UCGAACGGUGAAGCGGGUGCUUGCACUCGUGGAUCAGUGGCGAACGGGUGAGUAACACGUGAGUAACCUGCCCUCCACUCUGGGAUAAGCGCUGGAAACGGCGUCUAAUACUGGAUACGACCGACCCUCGCAUGGGGGUGUUGGUGGAAAGAUUUAUCGGUGGUGGAUGGACUCGCGGCCUAUCAGCUUGUUGGUGGGGUAACGGCCUACCAAGGCGACGACGGGUAGCCGGCCUGAGAGGGCGACCGGCCACACUGGGACUGAGACACGGCCCAGACUCC
Molecule: ribosomal RNA, 281 nt
Filed under: uncultured bacterium
Lineage: Bacteria
Description: partial 16S ribosomal RNA
Rfam family: Bacterial small subunit ribosomal RNA
Source: RNAcentral